AGAAUUGCACCUGGAGGCAUACUGCAAAGACAAGUUGGUGGAAGCCGACAAAGAUGCAUUCCGAUGUCGAAUCAGACAAAUUCAGUAAUAAAAAAGUUUCAACCUGAAAAAACCUACUUUUGUUGAGACUUGUGUUGAGGGAUUCCAGAAUUCACAACCUCCGAGAUUCAACUUUCACGCCAAGGCAACAUAUAUGUAAUUACCUACCAUGUCUGUUUUGGCCUUUCCUAGAAAGCUCCAUGUAUAAUAUUCCGUAAAAUACA
Molecule: long non-coding RNA, 263 nt
Organism: Solanum tuberosum (potato)
Lineage: Eukaryota; Viridiplantae; Streptophyta; Magnoliopsida; Solanales; Solanaceae
Exons: 2
Source: RefSeq, a predicted model, not a curated record